CACGUAGGGGGCAAGCGUUGUCCGGAUUUAUUGGGCGUAAAGAGCUCGUAGGUGGUUCGGUAAGUCGGGUGUGAAACCUCCAGGCUCAACCUGGAGACGCCACCCGAUACUGCUGUGACUGGAGUCCGGUAGGGGAGCGUGGAAUUCCUGGUGUAGCGGUGAAAUGCGCAGAUAUCAGGAGGAACACCGGUGGCGAAGGCGGGUCUCUGGGCCGAAAUUGACGCUGAGGAGCGAAAGCGUGGGGAGCAAACAGG
This 254-nucleotide ribosomal RNA is filed under the name uncultured bacterium. RNAcentral describes it as "partial 16S ribosomal RNA". It matches the Rfam family "Bacterial small subunit ribosomal RNA", at positions 524 to 776 of the family's 1533-position model. The record is from RNAcentral.